RNAcentral lists this ribosomal RNA (425 nucleotides) under uncultured prokaryote. Its description in RNAcentral is "bacterial SSU rRNA". It matches the Rfam family "Bacterial small subunit ribosomal RNA", at positions 355 to 796 of the family's 1533-position model. The record is from RNAcentral.
UCGAGAAUCUUUGUCAAUGGGCGAAAGCCUGAACAAGCGAUGCCGCGUGCGGGAUGAAGGCCUUCGGGUUGUAAACCGCUGUCAGAGGGGAGCAAAUUUUGAGCGAUCCUCAGAGGAAGCCCGGGCUAAGUUCGUGCCAGCAGCCGCGGUAACACGAACCGGGCAAACGUUAUUCGGAAUCACUGGGCUUAAAGGGUGCGUAGGCGGCAUGAUAAGUCGGGUGUGAAAUCCCCCAGCUCAACUGGGGAACUGCGCCCGAUACUGUGAUGCUUGAGGGAGAUAGAGGUGAGCGGAACUAGCAGUGGAGCGGUGAAAUGCGUUGAUAUUGCUGGGAACACCCGUGGCGAAAGCGGCUCACUGGGUCUCUUCUGACGCUGAGGCACGAAAGCUAGGGUAGCGAACGGGAUUAGAUACCCCCGUAGUCC